RNAcentral lists this ribosomal RNA (444 nucleotides) under uncultured bacterium. RNAcentral's name for it is "bacterial SSU rRNA". It matches the Rfam family "Bacterial small subunit ribosomal RNA", at positions 28 to 517 of the family's 1533-position model. The record is from RNAcentral.
GAUGAACGCUAGCGGCAGGCCUAAUACAUGCAAGUCGAGCGGGACCUUCGGGUCUAGCGGCGGACGGGUUAGUAACGCGUGGGAAUAUACCCUUUGGUACGGAAUAGCCUCGGGAAACUGAGAGUAAUACCGUAUGUGCCCUUCGGGGGAAAGAUUUAUCGCCAAAGGAUUAGCCCGCGUUGGAUUAGAUAGUUGGUGGGGUAAUGGCCUACCAAGUCUACGAUCCAUAGCUGGUUUGAGAGGAUGAUCAGCAACACUGGGACUGAGACACGGCCCAGACUCCUACGGGAGGCAGCAGUGGGGAAUCUUAGACAAUGGGCGCAAGCCUUGAUCUAGCCAUGCCGCGUGGACGACGAAGGCCUUAGGGUUGUAAAGUCCUUUCAGAUGGGAAGAUAAUGACGGUACCAUCAGAAGAAGACCCGGCUAACUCCGUGCCAGCAGCCG